GGAAGCAAGCUAAUGCUAUCUACUGGUUUCACAAGAAAAAAAAGUCAGAAAAAACAAAACCACUAAAAGACAUCUUGAAUAAAGAAACAUUUCACUUUGGUGGACCAAAUCUUCAGGGAUGCAUUCAGUUUCUCUGACACAGGUACCUGUGAGCCAGCAAGGCACACUCAGGUAUAGACAGACGCAGCCCAGUCGUGUGGCACCCAUGAAUAGAUCCAGUGAGCCUGUGCAGCUGUGUUUUGAUCAGCAGAGAGGUUUCCUGGCAUCGAGAACUGAAAUCACCUUGUGGCUAUGACAAGCACAUCUAAGCAAGUCUCGCUCCCGCCCGGCUCUCCGCGCCCAUCAUCUCGCUGGCGUCACCCAUCUCCUUUGUUACCCCAAAGAUCGGCAAUUCUCGGCUCCUGCUGUGUCUCUCAGUGUCCAUUCACCCGGCUGGCAUUCCCAUCUUCAUGCCUUUGUUAUCCCAAGGGUUGGCACUUCACGGCCUCUUGUCUCAGCUCCCACCCACAGCUCAAUCUGCAUCUCAAUCUCAGUUUGUGAGCCGGGCUACCUGGACCAGCAGCAUUCCUCAGCAGCUGUCCAUCUGGAUUUAGGGAAUUCUGGGGUUAAACAAACUGUGUGGAGAACACACAAUUUCUGUCACCUCAGAAGGUUGUAGCACCAAAUUGUGGAGAUUACAAAAAUUUGUUUUCAGGAAUCUUGUUUGGCUAUCCCCAGGUAUUAGCAUCUAGCA
Non-coding RNA from Zonotrichia albicollis (white-throated sparrow), 733 nucleotides. Lineage: Eukaryota; Metazoa; Chordata; Aves; Passeriformes; Passerellidae. The record is from RefSeq and is a predicted model, not a curated record.